GUGCUUGCUUUGGCAACACAUAUACUGAAAACAUAGGACGAUACAGAGAAGAUUAGCAUGGCACCUGACAUGCAAAUUAGUGAAGCAUUCUGUUUUUAA
RNAcentral lists this small nuclear RNA (99 nucleotides) under Saimiri boliviensis boliviensis (Bolivian squirrel monkey). Lineage: Eukaryota; Metazoa; Chordata; Mammalia; Primates; Cebidae. The record is from RNAcentral.